GGAACGAUAGCUCAGCAGGUAGAGCACGAGACUCUUAAUCUCUGGGUUGUGAGUUUGAGCCCCACAUUGGGCAAAAGAUUCU
This 82-nucleotide transfer RNA is filed under the name Podarcis lilfordi (Lilford's wall lizard). RNAcentral's name for it is "tRNA.Lys". The stretch from base 8 to 65 matches the Rfam family "tRNA", at positions 8 to 63 of the family's 71-position model. Rfam says of the family: Transfer RNA (tRNA) molecules are approximately 80 nucleotides in length. Their secondary structure includes four short double-helical elements and three loops (D, anti-codon, and T loops). The record is from RNAcentral. Lineage: Eukaryota; Metazoa; Chordata; Lepidosauria; Squamata; Lacertidae.